RNAcentral lists this ribosomal RNA (423 nucleotides) under uncultured cyanobacterium. RNAcentral's name for it is "partial 16S ribosomal RNA". It matches the Rfam family "Bacterial small subunit ribosomal RNA", at positions 356 to 776 of the family's 1533-position model. The record is from RNAcentral. Lineage: Bacteria; Bacillati; Cyanobacteriota.
GGGGAAUUUUCCGCAAUGGGCGAAAGCCUGACGGAGCAAUCUCGCGUGAGGGAUGACUGCCNAUGGGUUGUAAACCUCUUAUAUCUCAGGGAGGAAUCAAAUGACGUGUACCUGAAUAAUNAUCAUCGGCUACCUCCGCCACCAGCCGCCGCGGAUACGACGGAGGAUGCAAGUGUCAUCCAAUNAUCACUGNGUNGUAAAGCNUCUGUACGGUGGUUCAAUAAGUCAAGCUGAUUAAACUCUUGAACCUCNACUUCAAAAGCGNAGGCNANUGCUGUUACACUAGANUAUAAUAGGGGAGUAANGGGAAUUUCCAGUUGGAGCGGUGAAAUGCGUAGAUNAUUGGAAAGAACACCUGAUGGCGAAGGCACUAUUACCGGGCUAUUACUGACACUCNGACACGAAACUAGGGUAGCAAAUGGU